GCUGGGUAUGGUGGAGCACACCUGUAAUCCCAGCAGUUUGGGAGGCUGAGGCAGGAGGAUCACAAGUUUAAAGCCAGUCUCAGCAACUUAAUGAGACCCCAUCUCAA
Molecule: small RNA, 107 nt
Filed under: Marmota monax (woodchuck)
Lineage: Eukaryota; Metazoa; Chordata; Mammalia; Rodentia; Sciuridae
Source: RNAcentral